Molecule: ribosomal RNA, 465 nt
Filed under: uncultured bacterium
Lineage: Bacteria
Description: partial 16S ribosomal RNA
Rfam family: Bacterial small subunit ribosomal RNA
Source: RNAcentral
GACGAACGCUGGCGGCGUGCUUAACACAUGCAAGUCGAACGCUGAACCCGCUUCGGUGGGGGAUGAGUGGCGAACGGGUGAGUAACACGUGGGCAACCUGCCCCCGGCUCUGGGAUAACUCCAAGAAAUUGGGGCUAAUACCGGAUGUGACCGCUGGCCGCAUGGUCUGGUGGUGGGAAGGGUUUCCGGCUGGGGAUGGGCCCGCGGCCUAUCAGCUUGUUGGUGGGGUAGUGGCCUACCAAGGCGCCGACGGGUAGCCGGCCUGAGAGGGUGACCGGCCACACUGGGACUGAGACACGGCCCAGACUCCUACGGGAGGCAGCAGUGGGGAAUAUUGCGCAAUGGGCGGAAGCCUGACGCAGCGACGCCGCGUGGGGGAUGACGGCCUUCGGGUUGUAAACCUCUUUCAGCAGGGACGAAGCGCAAGUGACGGUACCUGCAGAAGAAGCACCGGCCAACUACGUG